Molecule: ribosomal RNA, 437 nt
Filed under: Eleganesia elegans
Lineage: Eukaryota; Metazoa; Arthropoda; Insecta; Hymenoptera; Bethylidae
Description: partial large subunit ribosomal RNA
Source: RNAcentral
AAAACAUCUUUUUUUGAUAAUAAUUUAAAAUUGUCCCUGCCCAAUGAAGUUGAUUUGAAUGGCUGCAGUAUCCUGACUGUACAAAGGUAGCAUAGUAAAUUGCUUUUUAAUUGAAAGCUUGAAUGAAGGGGGUGAUAAGAUAUAUACUUUAUUAAAAUAAAAAUUUUAAUUUAAUUUUUGGAUUAGAAAGUUAAAAUUUUUAAAUGGGACGAGAAGACCCUAUAGAAUUUAAUAAAUUUUUUAAUUGAAUUGAUUUAUAUUUUUAGUUUAAUUAUAUAAUUUAUUUAAUUGGGAGGAUUAUUAAAUUUAAAUAACUUUAUUUAUUUUUUUAACAAAAAUAUUUGGAUUAAUGAUUUUAGAUUUUUAAAUUUAAAAUUAAAUUACCUUAGGGAUAACAGUAAAAUAUUUUUGGAGAGUUCGUAUUGAUAAAAAUGUUU